AUAACUUUUAUUAUUAUUGAAUUUCUCAGCUCAAACCACAAGGCAAGUUCGUCCCUUUCGCCUUGUAAUCUCAUUUCGUUCCGCUCAAUGGCAGUUACGGACCACUCUCCCAUCGGAGACAAGAAGAAGAGGCCGAGAAAUAGAAGCUCAGCAGUAUCUCAGACCACACUUCAAUCCCUGGAGCACGACAUCCUCUGCUUCAUCUUCUUCUUCCUCGACCUCUUCGACCUUGUCCGAUGCUCUGUCGUCUGCAAAUCCUGGAAUGCGAUUAUGUGAGUGUAAAGUUGCUGUAAGUGUUUCCGAUAUGCAUAGCAGUUAGGAGGAAUCAUUGAAAUUAUGUUUGGAGGAGGUUGCCACGGAACGUCAUAGGAUAGGUUUGGAAGAGGGGUGAUAUUGAUUUUGAUCAGUUGAGAGGCCAUUCUUCUGGAUUAUUUCUGAAAGAUCAUGUCAUUGAUGUGCAAAAGUUGAUAAACUCUGGGUGGCACAAGAUUUUGUCAACUCUUCUGACCAAGAUGAAUGUCUAGAAGAUAUUGGUUAGGUUAUUUUGUACAUUUACUUGGGAGAUCCUUUUUUCAAGAGGUUGAAAAGAUGAAUUGGGCACCAUAAAGAAGUGUAAAAUGCAUGAUCUUGCAAUUUCAGUGGCAGGGGAACAUAGCAUCAUAAUAGAAAAAUAUCCAAAGAAUGAAAAGUUUCAUCAAAAGAUUCGUCGUAUAUCUUUUGAUAUUAAACCUAUGUGCAAGUCAUCAGAAUUUAUAAUGUCCUUUCUUGAAGGAAAGGAGCUGGUACACACCUUUCUCGAUCUAGAAGAACGAAUAGGCAGUGUUAGCGAAAAGAGUUGUGAUGCAAUUUUAUCCAACUUAAAAGUGUAUACGGGUUUUGGAUUGGAGAAUUUGAGAAUGGCGACAUUACCAAAUAGUUUUGAUAAAGUAAAGCACUUGAGAUAUCUUGAUCUUUCAUGUAAUAACAUGGUGGGGCUACCAAGUUCUUAACAAGACUGUAAAAUUUGCAAACACUGAUUCUCACUAGUUGUUCAUUGCUAAUGAGCUUGCCUCAAAAUUUGAAGUAUAUGAUAAACUUAAGACAUCUUUCGGCAAAUAAUGGAUGCAAUAGAUUGAAUCAUAUGCCUGUUGGAAUUGGUGGGUUAACUACUCUUAUCACAUUAGAUCAUUUUCUUAUAGCAGACAUCAAUUCUGAGUUGAAAGAUGCUGCAGGACUUGCUGAACUGUACUGCCUUAAUAAUUUGGGACGAAAAUUAUUGACUGAGAUGUUGAGCCCUAAUUUGAAGGGAGAUGCUGCAAAAUCAGAGGCUGCAAUUUUAAAGGAAAAGUAACAUCUUCAAUCACUACAUUAGAGAUAAUGCUAGAGUUGAUAUUCUGCCUCUCACCUCCGCUCAGUCUUGAUAUUAAGUAUUGUUGCAAACUAGUGAAUUUAUCAAAGGAGAUAGCCAACCUCUCAUCAUUGUUGCAGAAACUCUACAUUGGAGACUGCCCCAAGUUGACAUCAUUGCCAAAGGUAUUAGGCAACCUCUCAGCACUUGAUAGUCUAGAUAUCAUCUGAUGCCCCUAUUUAGUGACACUUCCACAAGAGAUGGCCAACCUCUUGGCACUUAAAAAUAUUCAUAUUGGAUGGUGUAAUAAGUUGGAAUCACUGCCAGAAGGGAUGCAUGGUCUCACAUCUUUAGAAGAAUAACAGAUCAAUAAAUGCCCCAGCUUAGAGCCAUUGCUGCGAGGGAUAAGCAAUCUCUCAUCUCUUUGAUGUCUUUCUAUCAAGGCAUGUUGUAAGUUGGUGUCACUGCCACAAGAGAUGCAUGUUCUCACAUCUUUAAACCAUCUGUCAAUGAAGAAUGUUCUAAUUUAGAACCAUUUUUAGAAGGAAUAAGCAGUCUCUCAUCACUUAAAAAUCUUACUCUUGCCAGAUGCGGUAAGUUGGAAACACUGCCACAAGGGCUGCAUAGUCUCUCCUCUUUGGAUCAUCUAUUCAUAGCUGAAUGUCCCAUUUAGAAUCAUUGUCUGAAGGAAUAGUCAAUCUCUCAUCGCUUACGACUCUUGUUAUUGAAAAAUGCCACAAGUUGGCAUCACUGCCAGAGGAGAUGCAUGGUCUCAACUUUUUAGGCUGACUAUACAUUUUAGACUGUCCCAAUUUAGAUUCAUUGCUGAAAGAGAUAAGCCAACUCUUAGCACUCAAAAGUUUUGACUUUUGAAAGAUGUUAUAUAGUGGCAACACUACCACAAGAGCUGUAUUCUCUCACUUCUUUAGAAGAUCUAUGCAUUACAGAAUGCCCUCUCCUAUCACAAACAAUUGAGGAAGAUAGAUACGGUCUCCGAGCUUAGCUUGCUUGCAUCCGCGAGCUUAUCUAGAUGGGAAAUAUUCGUGCCUUGUAUUGUUUAGGUCCGAUUUCUGUAUAUACAUACAUACAUACAUAUAUAUAUAUAUAUGAAAAUUUGUACCUCAAACAACAUAUUGCAUAAGAGAGUGUUUAAGGUAACAUGAACAUGUUAUCUUAUGUAUGUAGACGUCUACUCCCUAGAAAAACUAUAUAUAUAUAUAUAUAUAUAUAUGUACAAAAAUGCUACUAUGUGAAUGUCGUUUACCAAUUGGUAAAUGCUACUAUGAAAAAGUCAAUUAUCAUUUGGUGGAAGACAACCAUAUACAGUCAUCAGAACAUAUGAAUAUGCAGAUCUAAUAGUUGUCACCAACCAUGUGAUGGGGAAGUCCUACGGUAACAGUUGUGUGAAUAUAUAUAUAUAUAUAUAUAGAUAUU
Ziziphus jujuba (common jujube) is the source of this 2761-nucleotide long non-coding RNA. RefSeq lists it as uncharacterized. Lineage: Eukaryota; Viridiplantae; Streptophyta; Magnoliopsida; Rosales; Rhamnaceae. The record is from RefSeq and is a predicted model, not a curated record. The transcript has 3 exons.